GUGCUUGUUUUGGCAGCCCAUAUACUAAAAUUGGAACAAUACAGAGGAGAUUUGCAUGACCCUUAUGAAAGAAUGACAUGCAAAUUUGUGAAGCAUUCCAUAUUUUU
Molecule: small nuclear RNA, 107 nt
Organism: Mustela putorius furo (domestic ferret)
Lineage: Eukaryota; Metazoa; Chordata; Mammalia; Carnivora; Mustelidae
Source: Ensembl